Callithrix jacchus (white-tufted-ear marmoset) is the source of this 104-nucleotide small nuclear RNA. The record is from Ensembl. Lineage: Eukaryota; Metazoa; Chordata; Mammalia; Primates; Cebidae.
GUGCUCGCUUCGGCAGCACACAUACUAAAAUCGGAAUGAUACAGACACGAGCGUGGCCCCUGCGCAAGGAUGACAUGCAAAUUCGUGAAGCGUUCUGUAUUAUU